RNAcentral lists this ribosomal RNA (170 nucleotides) under Pseudomonas putida. Its description in RNAcentral is "partial 23S ribosomal RNA". It matches the Rfam family "Bacterial large subunit ribosomal RNA", at positions 204 to 421 of the family's 2925-position model. Lineage: Bacteria; Pseudomonadati; Pseudomonadota; Gammaproteobacteria; Pseudomonadales; Pseudomonadaceae. The record is from RNAcentral.
AAGUACCCUGAGGAAAAGAAAUCAACCGAGAUUCCCUUAGUAGUGGCGAGCGAACGGGGACCAGCCCUUAAGCUGGUUUGAGAUUAGUGGAACGCUCUGGAAAGGGCGGCCAUAGUGGGUGAUAGCCACGUACACGAAAAUCUCUUGCCAGUGAAAUCGAGUAGGACGGA